RNAcentral lists this small RNA (76 nucleotides) under Kaistella jeonii. RNAcentral describes it as "Chryseobacterium jeonii Flavo-1 RNA". It matches the Rfam family "Flavo-1 RNA". Lineage: Bacteria; Pseudomonadati; Bacteroidota; Flavobacteriia; Flavobacteriales; Weeksellaceae. The record is from RNAcentral.
UUUUAGCCCGGAUCGAAACGGCAUCCUUUUACGGAACGAAGUGGAGGAAAAGAUAGAGUGGAGAGCCGGUACGAUU